RNAcentral lists this long non-coding RNA (1322 nucleotides) under Equus asinus (donkey). Its description in RNAcentral is "lncRNA (ENSEASG00005037156.1)". Lineage: Eukaryota; Metazoa; Chordata; Mammalia; Perissodactyla; Equidae. The record is from RNAcentral.
GUUCAUUAUAGGAAGUCUUUGAAGGAAAAAUUAUAUUUGUAUGAAAAGGAAUAUUUUUUAGCCAUGUUGGAGAGAACAAAGAUCUAGGGAAUGGGCUUGGGGACAUUGACCCAGAUAUGAAAAUGCAGGCAUAGCGAAUUCAAUGAUGUGCAAAUGAGUAGCUGAGUUUUCCUCCCGUCCAUUCCUCUCUGCAUAUUGAGGAUGUUCCAGAACCCCAGCCCUGUGGUCUCUAAUCCCAGGGAGGGAAGUCUUAUGCUCUAUGUGCUCAUUUGCCAUGUUCUAGUUUUUGAUUGAUUAUUGUUGGCUACUCUUGCAGUGUGAUGCUGUCAUCUUGUAAGACCAAUGACAACAUCACAAGUUAUUUGGUUAUUUCAAACUCACAUUGUUUAUUUGAGGUUCUAAAGAAGUUACUAGCCAUGUUGAGAUCAAAAAGGGUAAUUACCAAACCACUGGUAGUUUAUUGAUGUCUUAUCAGAUUCUAAAAAAGGGCUGGAAAAAAACCAGUGCAGGCUUUAUUGUACUCUCGCGCUAAGUUUUAUGAAGGUUGAUUAGGUAAUAAAAUGAAGUUUGUAUUCACAUAGAAUUGUAGACUCAGAACGUAAGCAGUGAUGCUCAAAGUGAGGCCCUGGGACCAGCAGCAUCUACCUCGCCAGGUAACUUAGAAAUGCACGUUCUCAGAUCCCACCCCAGGCCUACUGAAUCAGAAAUUCAGGGGCUCCGGAGAGGUGAGGGGUCAUCUGUGUUUCCACAAGGCCCGUGCAGGGGAGUCUGAGGCUGACUAGAGUGUCAGAGAGUGCUGUGUAUUGGUUCUCAACAAUUUCUCCCCUGAUGUUAACCUUCUUCCUGGUAUAUCCUGUGUGUCUGCAUGUUGGACUCAAUCAGGUCUCACCUUUGCUUUCAUCUACCCUUGCUAGGAAACAGGAUGUAAUCUCUUGAAUUGGGGAGAGAGAAGUUCAGAAUGUGUCUAUGCUGAUGACAGUGUUGGAGACAAUGUUAACUCUUUUCUAUGCUUCUUAAAACUGCUAAGAAACUCUAAGUCUUAUAUAACAUCGAAUUAGUUAGUUAAUCAAGACAUUCCUCCUAUGGAGUACAAAAGCCUUCUUAAAAAGCGUCCUGCAAAAGAACCACCCAGGAAUGUUUGGGGAUUUCUGUGUACCAGGCCCUAGAAAAGCCAAACCCAGGGAGACCACUCCCAAAUUCUGGAGCUCUUUCAGACCGCUCAGACUCUUUACACUACACCAAAAAUAAUUUCCAAUUAUUCCAGAGUUCAAGAAUUGAAUGACUUAAUAACAAGCUCUUCCACCUGGAUUAAGGUAUCAGAC